RNAcentral lists this ribosomal RNA (732 nucleotides) under Niphargus bajuvaricus. RNAcentral's name for it is "bacterial SSU rRNA". It matches the Rfam family "Eukaryotic small subunit ribosomal RNA", at positions 431 to 966 of the family's 1831-position model. The record is from RNAcentral. Lineage: Eukaryota; Metazoa; Arthropoda; Malacostraca; Amphipoda; Niphargidae.
GGCACGCAAAUUACCCAAUCCCAGCAACUGGGGGAGGUAGUGACGAAAUCUAACGAUGCGGGCGCCCUUUUUGGGGCCCCGCAAUCGGAAUGAGCACUUUCUAAACAACCUGUUGAGAACCUACUGAAGGGCAAGUCUGGUGCCAGCAGCCGCGGUAAUUCCAGCUUCAGUAGCAUCUAUUAAAGUUGCUGCGGUUAAAAGGCUCGCAGUUGAAUGUCAGUAUCGAGCGCAGGUCAGGUGGACGCUGGGGGGUGGGAACACAAGGCGUGGCACGGGCCCUUGCCUCGCGCUUGUGGUACCGGCCGUGUCCCUCACAUACCCCCGUCCGUUACAAGCCUCCUCGCUCGCGUACAUAUCGGAAUUGGUCAAACGGAGUGUGCGCAGUCCCUCUGCUCUCGUCCUCAGGCCGCGUUCGCGCGUGUCGGUUGGCGUUGGGUGUGGGGGCUCGCACGGUAAGCUCCUUCGGUUCCAUGGUCACCUUGAGUAAAUCAGAGUGCUCAAAGCAGUCGUAGGGGCCUUGCGCCCUGUGAACAGUCUUGACGGACUGACUUGGUUUUGCAUGGCAUGUCGGAAGACGACGUCGUGUGCUGGCUCAGAGAUAUAUCAGUGGUGCAAGCCAGCCUCGACGUACUGAUUAACAGGGACGGUCGAGGGCAUUGGUAUUGCGAGGCGAGAGGUGAAAUUCUAUGACCCCCGCAAGACCUCCUGAAGCGAAAGCGUCUGCCAAGGACG